GGAUGUGAGGGCAAUCCGGCUGUGAUAUCUGUCACCCCAUUGAUGGCCAGGGUUGAUUGGGCUGUUCUGGCUGGCUAGGCGGGUGUCCCCUUCCUCCUUCGCCGCUCAGGUGCGUCCCUCCCGAAGCUGCGCGCUCGGUCGCAGAGGUCAACCAUGCCCGAUAGAGGAGGACCGUUCUUGGGUCAAGGGUAUACGAGUAGCUGUGCUCCCCUGCUAGAACCUCCAAACAAAAAGUGUGUGGGCAUACAUGUACACACACACACACGGACAUAGAUGUCAUUUAACUGUGUCCCGU
Molecule: small nuclear RNA, 295 nt
Filed under: Sus scrofa (pig)
Lineage: Eukaryota; Metazoa; Chordata; Mammalia; Artiodactyla; Suidae
Description: 7SK RNA (ENSSSCG00070001494.1)
Rfam family: 7SK RNA
About the family: 7SK was discovered as an abundant small nuclear RNA in the mid-70s but a possible function has only recently been suggested. Two independent studies have found that 7SK RNA binds the CDK9/cyclin T complex (known as elongation factor P-TEFb).
Source: RNAcentral